AGAGUUUGAUCCUGGCUCAGAGCGAACGCUGGCGGCAGGCUUAACACAUGCAAGUCGAGCGGGCGUAGCAAUACGUCAGCGGCAGACGGGUGAGUAACGCGUGGGAACAUACCUUUUGGUUCGGAACAACACAGGGAAACUUGUGCUAAUACCGGAUAAGCCCUUACGGGGAAAGAUUUAUCGCCGAAAGAUUGGCCCGCGUCUGAUUAGCUAGUUGGUGAGGUAACGGCUCACCAAGGCGACGAUCAGUAGCUGGUCUGAGAGGAUGAUCAGCCACAUUGGGACUGAGACACGGCCCAAACUCCUACGGGAGGCAGCAGUGGGGAAUAUUGGACAAUGGGCGCAAGCCUGAUCCAGCCAUGCCGCGUGAGUGAUGAAGGCCCUAGGGUUGUAAAGCACUUUUAGUGGGGAUGAAAAGCACAUUGCUAAUACCAGUGUGUCUUGACCUAACCCAAAGAAAAAGCACCGGCUAACUCUGUGCCAGCAGCGGCGGUAAUAC
Molecule: ribosomal RNA, 499 nt
Filed under: uncultured bacterium
Lineage: Bacteria
Description: bacterial SSU rRNA
Rfam family: Bacterial small subunit ribosomal RNA
Source: RNAcentral